AGAACGAACGCUGGCGGCGUGCUUAACACAUGCAAGUCGAGUGCGCGCCUGUAGCAAUACAGGUGGCGCACGGCGCACGGGUGCGUAACACGUGGGUAAUCUGCCCUUCGAUGGGGAAUAACUCGCCGAAAGGUGAGCUAAUUCCGCAUAACAUUCCAAGGACUUCGGUUUUUGGACUCAAAGGCGUAAGUCGUCGGAGGAGGAGCCCGCGCACGAUUAGCUAGUUGGUGAGGUAAUGGCUCACCAAGGCUAUGAUCGUUAGC
This 263-nucleotide ribosomal RNA is filed under the name uncultured bacterium. RNAcentral describes it as "partial small subunit ribosomal RNA". It matches the Rfam family "Bacterial small subunit ribosomal RNA", at positions 26 to 287 of the family's 1533-position model. The record is from RNAcentral.